CCCCUAGAUGUUCUGGGCCGCACGCGCGCUACACUGAUCAGUGCAACAAGCAUCCGUCCUUGGCCGACAGGCCCGGGCAAUCUUUGAACGCUGAUCGUGAUGGGGAUAGACUUUUGCAAUUUUUGGUCUUCAACGAGGAAUUCCUAGUAAACGCAAGUCAUCAACUUGCAUUGAUUACGUCCCUGCCCUUUGUACACACCGCCCGUCGCACCUACCGAUUGAAUGGUCCGGUGAAGCCUCCGGAUUGGCGUGCACCCUCGGGUGCUGCCGAGAAGUUGGCUAAACCUUACCAUUUAGAGGAAGGUGAAGUCGUAACA
Molecule: ribosomal RNA, 317 nt
Filed under: uncultured eukaryote
Lineage: Eukaryota
Description: partial 18S ribosomal RNA
Rfam family: Eukaryotic small subunit ribosomal RNA
Source: RNAcentral